UGCAAGUCGAGCGAAUCUGAGGGAGCUUGCUCCCAAAGAUUAGCGGCGGACGGGUGAGUAACACGUGGGCAACCUGCCUGUAAGACUGGGAUAACUUCGGGAAACCGGAGCUAAUACCGGAUAAUCCCUUUCCUCACAUGAGGAAAGGCUGAAAGACGGUUUCGGCUGUCACUUACAGAUGGGCCCGCGGCGCAUUAGCUAGUUGGUGAGGUAACGGCUCACCAAGGCCACGAUGCGUAGCCGACCUGAGAGGGUGAUCGGCCACACUGGGACUGAGACACGGCCCAGACUCCUACGGGAGGCAGCAGUAGGGAAUCUUCCGCAAUGGACGAAAGUCUGACGGAGCAACGCCGCGUGAGUGAUGAAGGUUUUCGGAUCGUAAAACUCUGUUGUUAGGGAAGAACAAGUAUCGGAGUAACUGCCGGUACCUUGACGGUACCUAACCAGAAAGCCACGGCUAACUACGUGCCAGCAGCCGCGGUAAUACGUAGGUGGCAAGCGUUGUCCGGAAUUAUUGGGCGUAAAGCGCGCGCAGGUGGUUCCUUAAGUCUGAUGUGAAAGCCCACGGCUCAACCGUGGAGGGUCAUUGGAAACUGGGGAACUUGAGUGCAGAAGAGGAAAGUGGAAUUCCAAGUGUAGCGGUGAAAUGCGUAGAGAUUUGGAGGAACACCAGUGGCGAAGGCGACUUUCUGGUCUGUAACUGACACUGAGGCGCGAAAGCGUGGGGAGCGAACAGGAUUAGAUACCCUGGUAGUCCACGCCGUAAACGAUGAGUGCUAAGUGUUAGAGGGUUUCCGCCCUUUAGUGCUGCAGCAAACGCAUUAA
This 825-nucleotide ribosomal RNA is filed under the name Bacillus sp. BAC60. RNAcentral's name for it is "bacterial SSU rRNA". It matches the Rfam family "Bacterial small subunit ribosomal RNA", at positions 56 to 863 of the family's 1533-position model. The record is from RNAcentral. Lineage: Bacteria; Bacillati; Bacillota; Bacilli; Caryophanales; Bacillaceae.